This 253-nucleotide unclassified non-coding RNA is filed under the name uncultured Bacillaceae bacterium. RNAcentral describes it as "contains 16S-23S intergenic spacer region". It matches the Rfam family "Bacterial small subunit ribosomal RNA", at positions 524 to 776 of the family's 1533-position model. Lineage: Bacteria; Bacillati; Bacillota; Bacilli; Caryophanales; Bacillaceae. The record is from RNAcentral.
UACGUAGGUGGCAAGCGUUAUCCGGAAUUAUUGGGCGUAAAGCGCGCGCAGGUGGUUUCUUAAGUAUGAUGUGAAAGCCCACGGCUCAACCGUGGAGGGUCAUUGGAAACUGGGAGACUUGAGUGCAGAAGAGGAAAGUGGAAUUCCAUGUGUAGCGGGGAAAUGCGUAGGGAUAUGGAGGAACACCAGUGGCGAAGGCGAAUUUCCGGUCUGUAACUGAAACCGAGGCGCGAAAGCGUGGGGAGCAAACAGG